AUUGAACGCUGGCGGCAUGCCUUACACAUGCAAGUCGAACGGCAGCACGGGUGCUUGCACCUGGUGGCGAGUGGCGAACGGGUGAGUAAUAUAUCGGAACGUACCUUAUUGUGGGGGAUAACGCAGCGAAAGCUGUGCUAAUACCGCAUAAUCCCUAAGGGGGAAAGCGGGGGACCGUAAGGCCUCGCGCAAUUAGAGCGGCCGAUACCUGAUUAGCUAGUUGGUGAGGUAAAGGCUCACCAAGGCAACGAUCAGUAGCUGGUCUGAGAGGACGAUCAGCCACACUGGGACUGAGACACGGCCCAGACUCCUACGGGAGGCAGCAGUGGGGAAUUUUGGACAAUGGGGGCAACCCUGAUCCAGCAAUGCCGCGUGAGUGAAGAGGGCCUUCGGGUUGUAAAGCUCUUUUGUCAGGGAAGAAACAGCAGCUCUAACACAGUUUGCGAAUGACGGUACCUGAAGAAUAAGCACCGGCUAACUACGUGCCAGCAGCCGCAGUAA
RNAcentral lists this ribosomal RNA (501 nucleotides) under uncultured bacterium. RNAcentral's name for it is "partial 16S ribosomal RNA". It matches the Rfam family "Bacterial small subunit ribosomal RNA", at positions 30 to 523 of the family's 1533-position model. The record is from RNAcentral.